UACAGAGGGGGCAAGCGUUGUUCGGAAUUACUGGGCGUAAAGGGCGCGUAGGCGGCCUGUUAAGUCGAACGUGAAAUCCCCGGGCUCAACCCGGGAACUGCGUCCGAUACUGGCAGGCUUGAAUUCGGGAGAGGGAUGUGGAAUUCCAGGUGUAGCGGUGAAAUGCGUAGAGAUCGGGAAGAACAUCAGUGGCGAAGGCGGCCUGCUGGGCUGUUGCUGACGCUGAGGCGCGACAGCGUGGGGAGCAAACAGG
RNAcentral lists this ribosomal RNA (253 nucleotides) under uncultured bacterium. Its description in RNAcentral is "partial 16S ribosomal RNA". It matches the Rfam family "Bacterial small subunit ribosomal RNA", at positions 524 to 776 of the family's 1533-position model. The record is from RNAcentral.